Clupea harengus (Atlantic herring) is the source of this 1011-nucleotide long non-coding RNA. Lineage: Eukaryota; Metazoa; Chordata; Actinopteri; Clupeiformes; Clupeidae. The record is from Ensembl.
CAUGCAUAUGUUCAUGUCACACAAGUAUUACAAGGCAUGAAAGUUAUGUGACAAUUACAACUCUCACAUUUGACUCUGUUCAUUAAAUCUUUCAGAUGUUGACAAAAGGGAAGACAUUUUCUCUGAACAGGAUGAUGCAAACCAGUAUCAUGUCUACAACUUUAUAUCGGACCCACCAAGUAUCUCCAACCAGGGGGACCCCACAUACAGCUUGGUGCAGGACCACAGGAGCCCUGUUGUCACACAGCAGGACAUGACCUACAGCCUUCUGCAGGUGCACUGAUACAGCUGCACUUACCGCAUAUAGCAUUUAUUAUGUUUUAAAUGGCUUGUGUUGUGUUUUGGAAUGCCUGCAAAUAGAGAAAAUAACUACAAUGACUAUGGUCUAUUGAGGGUUUGAUGGACAUCUUCUCCAGUGAAAUUUCUGUUGUAUUUUAGCUAGAAUGUAAAGAUUUCCGGAGGCAAGUUAAAUACCGGUUUGCAGUAUAUAGGCAGAUUUACUAAUGGUAAAUACAUUGUUAAAUAAGCCACGCCCACAUACGCAUGUCCCAAAAUUGCCCGGAAUUACUGCCUCUCUGAGUACAUCUGCCACUUAGUAGAGUAUUUUCAUCAAAUGUUAAAUCAGUAGGCUAGUUAUUAUUGUUAGUUUUAGAUAAGAAAUUAAAACUUGACUUCAUAACGUGCAUAAACAUUCACAUAAUAAGACAUAAACCUCUAUAUAAUAUAUAUAAAAAAUAUGUAUAUACAUCACAAUACACAAAAGAAUAAAAGAAAUGCCAGAUGUGAAGAGGGUGAAAGAUGUCAUCUUGUCCUCUGAGUGGUUGGAAAGAGCAAAGACGAGGCCGUUUGACCUCUAAGUAGUUUUAAUAGAUUGAGGAAGUAGGCAGCUGACAGACAAAUAGGAAACUGCUAAACUCAACUAAAGAUGGUCUGACACUCAAACACCACAAUUGUCACUGAGGCUUGUUCAGCGACUUUGACCUGACGAUGCAUUAUUUCCUCUAGCUGGGU